Molecule: ribosomal RNA, 459 nt
Filed under: uncultured bacterium
Lineage: Bacteria
Description: SSU rRNA
Rfam family: Bacterial small subunit ribosomal RNA
Source: RNAcentral
AGAAUCAACGCUGGCGGCGUGCCUAACACAUGCAAGUCGAACGAGAAAGUGGAGCAAUCCAUGAGUACAGUGGCGCACGGGUGAGUAACACGUGACUAACCUACCCUUGAGUGGGGGAUAACCUAGAGAAAUCUGGGCUAAUACCGCAUAAUACCUUCGGGUCAAAGGAGCAAUUCGCUUAAGGAGGGGGUCGCGGCCGAUUAGUUAGUUGGCGGGGUAAUGGCCCACCAAGACUGUGAUCGGUAUCCGGCCUGAGAGGGCGCACGGACACACUGGAACUGAAACACGGUCCAGACUCCUACGGGAGGCAGCAGUGGGGAAUUUUGCGCAAUGGGGGAAACCCUGACGCAGCAACGCCGCGUGGAGGAUGAAGCCCCUUGGGGCGUAAACUCCUUUCGAUCGGGAAGAUAAUGACGGUACCGAGAGAAGAAGCCCGGCUAACUUCGCGCCAGCAGCCGC